UACGUAGGGGGCGAGCGUUGUCCGGAGUUACUGGGCGUAAAGCGCUUGUAGGCGGUCCACCAAGUUUGGGGUGACAGUUGCCGACUUAAUCGGCAAAGUGCCUCAAAGACUGGCGGACUUGAGGGCCACAGAGGGACAUGGAACUCCAGGUGUAGUGGUGAAAUGCGUAGAUAUCUGGAAGAACACCAAAGGCGAAGGCGGUGUCCUGGGUGGUCGCUGACGCUGAGAGGCGAAAGCCAGGGGAGCGAACGGG
RNAcentral lists this ribosomal RNA (253 nucleotides) under uncultured bacterium. RNAcentral's name for it is "partial 16S ribosomal RNA". It matches the Rfam family "Bacterial small subunit ribosomal RNA", at positions 524 to 776 of the family's 1533-position model. The record is from RNAcentral.